Molecule: transfer RNA, 74 nt
Filed under: Bacilli bacterium
Lineage: Bacteria; Bacillati; Bacillota; Bacilli
Also listed under: 1 other name
Description: tRNA-Thr
Rfam family: tRNA
About the family: Transfer RNA (tRNA) molecules are approximately 80 nucleotides in length. Their secondary structure includes four short double-helical elements and three loops (D, anti-codon, and T loops).
Source: RNAcentral
GCCCCCUUAGUUAAGUGGCAUAACGGGUCCAUGGUAAGGAUCAGUUGGUGGUUCGAUUCCGCCAGGGGGCACCA